UGUUAGCGGCGGACGGGUGAGUAACACGUGGGUAACCUGCCUGUAAGACUGGGAUAACUCCGGGAAACCGGAGCUAAUACCGGAUAGUUCCUUGAACCGCAUGGUUCAAGGAUGAAAGACGGUUUCGGCUGUCACUUACAGAUGGACCCGCGGCGCAUUAGCUAGUUGGUGAGGUAACGGCUCACCAAGGCGACGAUGCGUAGCCGACCUGAGAGGGUGAUCGGCCACACUGGGACUGAGACACGGCCCAGACUCCUACGGGAGGCAGCAGUAGGGAAUCUUCCGCAAUGGACGAAAGUCUGACGGAGCAACGCCGCGUGAGUGAUGAAGGUUUUCGGAUCGUAAAGCUCUGUUGUUAGGGAAGAACAAGUGCAAGAGUAACUGCUUGCACCUUGACGGUACCUAACCAGAAAGCCACGGCUAACUACGUGCCAGCAGCCGCGGUAAUACGUAGGUGGCAAGCGUUGUCCGGAAUUAUUGGGCGUAAAGGGCUCGCAGGCGGUUUCUUAAGUCUGAUGUGAAAGCCCCCGGCUCAACCGGGGAGGGUCAUUGGAAACUGGGAAACUUGAGUGCAGAAGAGGAGAGUGGAAUUCCACGUGUAGCGGUGAAAUGCGUAGAGAUGUGGAGGAACACCAGUGGCGAAGGCGACUCUCUGGUCUGUAACUGACGCUGAGGAGCG
RNAcentral lists this ribosomal RNA (679 nucleotides) under Bacillus altitudinis. RNAcentral's name for it is "bacterial SSU rRNA". It matches the Rfam family "Bacterial small subunit ribosomal RNA", at positions 90 to 755 of the family's 1533-position model. Lineage: Bacteria; Bacillati; Bacillota; Bacilli; Caryophanales; Bacillaceae. The record is from RNAcentral.